GACGAACGCUGGCGGCGUGCUUAACACAUGCAAGUCGAACGGAAAGGCCCUGCUUUUGUGGGGUGCUCGAGUGGCGAACGGGUGAGUAACACGUGAGUAACCUGCCCUUGACUUUGGGAUAACUUCAGGAAACUGGGGCUAAUACCGGAUAGGAGCUCCUGCUGCAUGGUGGGGGUUGGAAAGUUUCGGCGGUUGGGGAUGGACUCGCGGCUUCUCCUCUUGUUGGUGGGGUAGUGGCUUACCAAGGCUUUGACGGGUAGCCGGCCUGAGAGGGUGACCGGCCACAUUGGGACUGAGAUACGGCCCAGACUCCGACGGGAGGAAGAAGUGGGGAAUAUUGAACAAGGGGCGGAAGCCUGAUGCAGCAAGGCCGCGUGCGGGAUGACGGCCUUCGGGUUGUAAACCGCUUUCGCCUGUGACGAAGCGUGAGUGACGGUAAUGGGUAAAGAAGCACCGGCUAACUACGUG
RNAcentral lists this ribosomal RNA (468 nucleotides) under uncultured bacterium. Its description in RNAcentral is "partial 16S ribosomal RNA". It matches the Rfam family "Bacterial small subunit ribosomal RNA", at positions 28 to 507 of the family's 1533-position model. The record is from RNAcentral.